Mauremys mutica (yellowpond turtle) is the source of this 1275-nucleotide long non-coding RNA. RefSeq lists it as uncharacterized. Lineage: Eukaryota; Metazoa; Chordata; Testudines; Geoemydidae. The transcript has 3 exons. The record is from RefSeq and is a predicted model, not a curated record.
UAGGUGUGCAUCCCCACAGGCUAGGUCUUGUGAGCUAUGAACAAGUAGGGGACCGAAAUGAUGCAGGGCAGUGGGUGCUAGAGUGGAGUGGUGACUGUGGGUGUUGGCUGAGUCUCUGCUUUAGUGGAGCUGAUGUGGAUGGGAUGGGAGAGGGAGGCAGGGAUGAGAGCAAGAUUUCACGCGUCAAUUGUAUUUUGUGUAGCGAUGGCUCUUGCUUGGCUUAUUUGAUGCACUUGCAGAGAAAUCAUCGGGGAGCAGCAGCAGGAGGAGAAACUAGCAGACGCGGACCUGAGCAGCCUGGACAUCCUUCUAAGCACAGAUUAACAGUCUUCAGCUUUCUGCCUUCCACAUAACUGGCUGACCAAGAGAAAAGAAGUGGAGGGUCAGCGUCGACUCACCUCAUGUUACGGAAAGCGAGUGAGAGCGACGAGAUCGCAAGCAUUUUGGAUGCCAGGCAAGAGCCGUCCAGCUGGGAGCGGAGCAGCCGCCACUGUCAAUGAGAUAAGUAUCUGUUUUGGUGAUUGCUCUGCUCACUGCCCACCUGAAUCCAGAUACAAAUGCCCCAUUAGCUGGGACUGGGUUUGUAACAAAAUAUUCCUGACUACGUGUGGUUCUGAAGGAGACAAGGUCCCCAUUUUCAGGGGCUGCUCAUUUCUUUGUUCACAAGCGCUGUGUCCUCUACAGAAAAAGUUGGAUCCAGGAGGUUGAUUCCAGGUGGCGAGUUGCUUGCCUUCCUCCUGUUUUUUUCUCUCUCUCUCUCUCUUCUCCAGUACGUUGGCCAACACACACCCUUUCUUUCUGUCCUUGCUUUUCCUUGUGCUGUCUCCCUUCGUACGACACGAGCAUGUGUGCUCGGUGUGCACCCCCACAGGGUAGGUCUCGGGGGCCAUGAUGAAGUAGGAGGGGACGAAAAUUGUGCAAGGUAGCGGGCACGGGAGUGGAGGGGUGACUGUCAGUGUUAACUUGGUCUCUGUUUAUCAAUUGGGGCAGAUAUAGAUGGGCUGGAAGAGGGAGGCAGGGAUGAGGGCAAGAUUUCAAACAUCAAUAGAGAUGUGUGUAGUGAUGGCUCAUGAUUGGCUUUUGCAGAUCCAUUUCCAGAGGAAUUUCCCAGGAGCCGUAGCGGGAGGAGAGGUUGGCAGAUGUGGACAUGAGGAAACUGAACAUUCUUCUAAGCAGACACGAACAGUCCUCAGCUUUCUGCUUCCCACAUAACUGGCUUACCAAGGAAAAAGAAGUCGCACGUCAGAGUCUACUGCCCUCAUGCGAUGGAAAGUG